Molecule: unclassified non-coding RNA, 214 nt
Filed under: Hevea brasiliensis (rubber tree)
Lineage: Eukaryota; Viridiplantae; Streptophyta; Magnoliopsida; Malpighiales; Euphorbiaceae
Source: RNAcentral
AAACCAUCAGCCAAGACUCGACGACAAAUAUUACUAUGGAACACGAAGACACUUUAUGUUUUUAGUCUGAAUAAUAAGACGUCUGCCUUAUAAUAUAAGAGAUGGAUAGUUAUUUAUUAUUAUUUUUUUCAUUCAAUAGAGGCACAUUGGGAUAUAAUUGAUGAGUUACAUAACGGAGAUAACUUUUUUCUUUUCUCACAGAAAGGUAAAUAAU